Molecule: transfer RNA, 67 nt
Filed under: Marmota monax (woodchuck)
Lineage: Eukaryota; Metazoa; Chordata; Mammalia; Rodentia; Sciuridae
Description: tRNA.Ala
Source: RNAcentral
GGUUGUGGCUCAGUGAUAGAACACUUGCCUAGCAUGCAUGAGGCACUGGGUUCAAUCCUCAGCACCA